Molecule: long non-coding RNA, 947 nt
Filed under: Homo sapiens (human)
Lineage: Eukaryota; Metazoa; Chordata; Mammalia; Primates; Hominidae
Description: non-protein coding lnc-OTUD1-3:1
Source: RNAcentral
AUGGCAGCCUUUGCCAUGGAACUCCAGGUGCCUGCAUUAGGAUCUGAACCAAUGAUGCUGGCUUCAUCUCCAAAGCCAGGAGUUAAUGCCCAGUUCUUACCUGGAUUUUGAAUGUGGAAUUUGCCAGCCCUGGUGACUCCACAAUCUCGAUCAAUUAGUGGCCCUUCAGUAGGAGUAGUGGAAAUGAGAUCACCUUUACUUGCAGGUGGGUCACCACCACAACCAGUUUUACUAGCUCAUAAAGAUAAAAGUGGCGCUCCACAAGUUAGAAGUAUAUAUGAUGACAUUUCUAGCCUGGGAUUUGGAUCAACACCUUUAACUUCAAGAAGACAGCCAAACAUUUCAUGAUGCAGAGUCCUCUUACUGGAGUUACAUCUACUCCUGGAACAGGGCAAAGUACGUUUAGUCCAGCAAAUGUCGGUCAGUCAUGAAAGAUGACAUUUUCUCCUUCCCGGUUGGAUCCUUUUUAUACUCAAGGAGAUUCUUUGACUUCAGAAGGUCACCUUGAUGACACUUGGGUGACUGUGUUCGGGUUUUCUCAAGCCUCUGCUUCCUACAUAUUAUUACAAUUUGCACAGUAUGGGAAUAUCUUAAAACACAUGAUGUCUAACACAGGAAAUUGAAUGUAUAUUCAUUAUCAGUCUAAACUGCAGGCUCGGAAAGCCUUAACCAAAGAUGGGAGGAUUUUUAGAGAAUUCAUCAUGAUUGGUGUAAAAUCCUGUAUUGACUAAACUGUAAUGGGAAGCACUGACAGACGUGCUUUAUCAUCUCCAUCUUUCGCCUUUACACCACCAAUCAAAACUUUAGGUACACUAGCACAACCUGAAAGUACUCCUAGGAUUUCUGCCAUGAGACCUCUUGCUACAGCAUACAAAGAUUCUACUAGUGAUUAUCAGGUUAUUUCUGACAGAUGAAAAUCUUGUAUCCAAAGCAAUGGAGUACAUGUC